CCCUAACUCGUGCUUUGUGCGUCUUGACUCUAGCUCGACCUCCAUUCUGACCUCCAUUCUCCCAAACGCGAGCUCCUCACAAACUCGAGCUUCUCCUCCUCAGUCGAAGUCGCCGCCAUUGUUACCGUCCUUGGCUUAUUCGUCAUCGACUUGGUCCAGUGAGAAGCUCACGGCCCUCCUACUAGGACGACGACGUUGCUGCUUCAAGGAGGAUGAGGACAUCAUCCAAGCCGUUCUAAACGACGGCGUUCAGUCUUAGUGCUUCGAAUCGAAGCUCGGCGACUGGAAGAGAGCGGCGACGAUUCGG
Molecule: long non-coding RNA, 307 nt
Filed under: Rosa chinensis
Lineage: Eukaryota; Viridiplantae; Streptophyta; Magnoliopsida; Rosales; Rosaceae
Description: sRNA RchiOBHm_Chr7g0214421
Source: RNAcentral